This 554-nucleotide ribosomal RNA is filed under the name Myoprocta pratti. RNAcentral's name for it is "partial 16S ribosomal RNA". It matches the Rfam family "Bacterial large subunit ribosomal RNA", at positions 1816 to 2597 of the family's 2925-position model. The record is from RNAcentral. Lineage: Eukaryota; Metazoa; Chordata; Mammalia; Rodentia; Dasyproctidae.
CACNUCUAGCAUUACAAGUAUUAGAGGCACUGCCUGCCCGGUGACGAGAAGUUCAACGGCCGCGGUAUCCUGACCGUGCAAAGGUAGCAUAAUCACUUGUUCCUUAAAUAGGGACUUGUAUGAACGGCUAAACGAGGGCUUGACUGUCUCUCAUUUCUAGUCAGUGAAAUUGACCUUCCCGUGAAGAGGCGGGAAUAAUACAAUAAGACGAGAAGACCCUAUGGAGCUUCAAUUUAUUAAUUUAUUCCCUACCACACCUAAGUCCACAAGGACAUAAAAUACUGAGUCUAAAUUAAUAAUUUCGGUUGGGGUGACCUCGGAGAACAACAAAUCCUCCGAAUGAUAUUAGCCUAGACACAACAAGUCAAAGCCUACCAUCACUAAUUGACCCAAAAAUUACUUUUGAUCAAUGAACCAAGUUACCCUAGGGAUAACAGCGCAAUCCUAUUCUAGAGUCCAUAUCGACAAUAGGGUUUACGACCUCGAUGUUGGAUCAGGACAUCCCAGUGGUGCAGCCGCUACUAAUGGUUCGUYUGUUCAACGAUUAAAGUCCU